UUAUUUAAAGUAGAGGAAAGUCCAUGCUUGCAUAGACUGAGAUGUCUAUAGUGUUUGUGUAAGUAUAUAAAAAAUAAAACUUAACAACUAAAGAAAUUUAGUUGAUGGCGGAGAUUAAUUCUAAGUAGAUUUCUAUAUGAACUAAUUUCUAUAAAGUGCCACAGAGACG
RNAcentral lists this non-coding RNA (169 nucleotides) under Mycoplasma parvum. The record is from RNAcentral. Lineage: Bacteria; Bacillati; Mycoplasmatota; Mollicutes; Mycoplasmatales; Mycoplasmataceae.